RNAcentral lists this ribosomal RNA (515 nucleotides) under uncultured bacterium. Its description in RNAcentral is "bacterial SSU rRNA". It matches the Rfam family "Bacterial small subunit ribosomal RNA", at positions 338 to 847 of the family's 1533-position model. The record is from RNAcentral.
CCUACGGGAGGCAGCAGUAAGGAAUAUUGGUCAAUGGGCGGAAGCCUGAACCAGCCACGCCGCGUGCAGGAAGACGGCCCUACGGGUUGUAAACUGCUUUUAUACGGGAAUAAACCUCGAUACGUGUAUCGAGCUGAAUGUACUGUAAGAAUAAGGAUCGGCUAACUCCGUGCCAGCAGCCGCGGUAAUACGGAGGAUCCAAGCGUUAUCCGGAUUUAUGGGUUUAAAGGGUGCGUAGGUGGCCUGUUAAGUCAGGGGUGAAAGACGGUAGCUUAACUAUCGCAGUGCCCUUGAUACUGAUGGGCUUGAAUAAACUAGAGGUAGGCGGAAUGUGACAAGUAGCGGUGAAAUGCAUAGAUAUGUCACAGAACACCAAUUGCGAAGGCAGCUUACUAUGGUUUUAUUGACACUGAGGCACGAAAGCGUUGGGGAUCAAACAGGAUUUAGAUACCCUGGUAGUCCACGACCUAACGACUAGAUACUACGUAUAGUGGUCGAUAUACGUACGUAGCGUC